RNAcentral lists this unclassified non-coding RNA (347 nucleotides) under soil metagenome. Its description in RNAcentral is "partial contains 5.8S ribosomal RNA, internal transcribed spacer 2, and large subunit ribosomal RNA". The stretch from base 1 to 120 matches the Rfam family "5.8S ribosomal RNA", at positions 35 to 154 of the family's 154-position model. The record is from RNAcentral.
GAUGAAGAACGCAGCGAAAUGCGAUAAGUAAUGUGAAUUGCAGAAUUCAGUGAAUCAUCGAAUCUUUGAACGCACAUUGCGCCCGCCAGUAUUCUGGCGGGCAUGCCUGUUCGAGCGUCAUUUCAACCCUCAAGCUCUGCUUGGUGUUGGGGACCGGCCGCGGCCUCAGUGCUCUGCCGCCCCCUAAAUACAGUGGCGGUCCCGCCGCAGCCUCCUUUGCGUAGUAGUAAACCACCUCGCACAUGGAACGCAGCGUGACCACGCCGUUAAACCCCCAACUUUCUGAAGUUUGACCUCGGAUCAGGUAGGAAUACCCGCUGAACUUAAGCAUAUCAAUAAGCGGAGGA